AGUUAUUAAUGGAUGAUAACUAAUACGUAUAUUUGUUUGCAGACCUAAGAAGAUGACAAACUCCAGGACUUGCAGAACUAGAUAUUCUGACAGGAGCCAGCGUAACCAUUUGUGACCGUUUGAGGUGGGUUGUCACCACUUUGUGUCCUGAAUGACCAUGUAUGGGGAAAUACAGCUGUGGUAGACGCUAUCCAUAAAAAAAAGUCUAUCUCCAGGAAGUUUGCAGUGGGCACAGAUGUAAGCCAAAAAAGAUGCUAUGGAGAAACUGGACACAGAAGGCAGAGCAGUAGCCUCCCAAGGUACUCCAGAACUGCAGCCUACGUAAUGCUCCGUGGGACAGCCAGAAAGGUUUAACUUGUGCGCUGUCAGACACAACCAGUUAACGGUAUGCAUUUCUAUGUUAUUAAAUAUUAUUACAAAUUGCAUGGUACAUUUGUUGUUAA
RNAcentral lists this long non-coding RNA (443 nucleotides) under Struthio camelus australis. RNAcentral describes it as "lncRNA (ENSSCUG00000009898.1)". The record is from RNAcentral. Lineage: Eukaryota; Metazoa; Chordata; Aves; Struthioniformes; Struthionidae.